CACGUAGUUAGCCGGCGCUUCUUUACCCACUACACUCACCACAACCCACAGUUGCGGCUUGACCACAGGCGAAAGAGGUUCACAACCCGAAGGCCUCCAUCCCUCACGCGGCGUCGCCGCAUCAGGCUUGCGCCCAUUGUGCAAUAUCCCCCACUGCUGCCUCCCGUAGGAGUCUGGGCCGUAUCUCAGUCCCAAUGUGACCGGUCACCCUCUCAGGCCGGCUACCCGUCAAAGCCUUGGUAAGCCAUCACCCCACCAACAAGCUGAUAAGCCGCGAGCCCAUCCCCCACCAGAAAAAACCCUUUCCACCAACCCCCAUGCGAAGACCAGUGAAUACCCGGUAUUAGCAGCCCUUUCAGACCGUUAUCCCGAAGAAGAGGGCAGGUUACUCACGUGUUACUCACCCGUUCGCCACUCAUCCACCACACAAAGCCAGCUUCAGCGUUCGACUUGCAUGUGUUACGCACGCCGCCAGCGUCUCUCGAGCCAGGACUCGAACUACU
RNAcentral lists this ribosomal RNA (503 nucleotides) under uncultured Actinomyces sp. RNAcentral describes it as "partial 16S ribosomal RNA". The record is from RNAcentral. Lineage: Bacteria; Bacillati; Actinomycetota; Actinomycetes; Actinomycetales; Actinomycetaceae.